CAGCAGCCGCGGUAAUACGAAGGGUGCAAGCGUUAAUCGGAAUUACUGGGCGUAAAGCGUGCGUAGGCGGUUUGUUAAGUCCGUUGUGAAAUCCCCGGGCUCAACCUGGGAAUGGCAAUGGAUACUGGCAAGCUAGAGUGUGUCAGAGGAUGGUGGAAUUCCCGGUGUAGCGGUGAAAUGCGUAGAGAUCGGGAGGAACAUCAGUGGCGAAGGCGGCCAUCUGGGACAACACUGACGCUGAGGCACGAAAGCGUGGGGAGCAAACAGGAUUAGAUACCCGCGUAGUCCCUGUCUCUUAUAC
This 301-nucleotide ribosomal RNA is filed under the name uncultured bacterium. RNAcentral describes it as "partial 16S ribosomal RNA". It matches the Rfam family "Bacterial small subunit ribosomal RNA", at positions 509 to 807 of the family's 1533-position model. The record is from RNAcentral.